UACAGAGGUCCCAAGCGUUGUUCGGAUUCACUGGGCGUAAAGGGUGCGUAGGCGGUCGGGUAAGUCUGAUGUGAAAUCUCACAGCUUAACUGUGAAACUGCAUUGGAUACUAUCCGGCUAGAGGAAUGGAGGGGAGACUGGAAUUCCUGGUGUAGCGGUGAAAUGCGCAGAUAUCAGGAGGAACACCGGUGGCGAAGGCGGGUCUCUGGACAUUUCCUGACGCUGAGGCACGAAAGCCAGGGGAGCAAACGGG
RNAcentral lists this ribosomal RNA (253 nucleotides) under uncultured bacterium. Its description in RNAcentral is "partial 16S ribosomal RNA". It matches the Rfam family "Bacterial small subunit ribosomal RNA", at positions 524 to 776 of the family's 1533-position model. The record is from RNAcentral.